RNAcentral lists this transfer RNA (69 nucleotides) under Hydroscapha granulum. RNAcentral's name for it is "tRNA-Trp". Lineage: Eukaryota; Metazoa; Arthropoda; Insecta; Coleoptera; Hydroscaphidae. The record is from RNAcentral.
AAGGAUUUAAGUUAAACCAAACUAACAGCCUUCAAAGCUGUAAAUAAAGAGUGGGCCCUUUAAGCCUUA